GGCCUCAUACAUGCAAGUCGAGGGAGAAUUUUGUGCUUCGGCGCAGAAGGAAACCGGCGAACGGGUGAGUAACGCGUGGGAAUCUGCCUCGAAGUGAGGAAUAACCGCUGGAAACGGCGGCUAAUACCGCAUAUACCCUAUGGGGGAAAGAUUUAUCGCUUUGAGAUGAGCCCGCGUCGGAUUAGGUAGUUGGAAGGGUAAAAGCCUCCCAAGCCGAUGAUCCGUAGUUGGUCUUAGAGGAUGAUCAGCCACACUGGAACUGAGACACGGUCCAGACUCCUACGGGAGGCAGCAGUAAGGAAUAUUGCGCAAUGGAGGGAACUCUGACGCAGCCAUGCCGCGUGAGUGAAGAAGGCCUUAGGGUUGUAAAGCUCUUUCAGCUGUGAAGAUGAUGACAGUAACAGCAGAAGAAGCCCCGGCUAACUUCGUGCCAGCAGCCGCGGUAAUACGAAGGGGGCUAGCGUNGUUCGGAAUCACUGGGCGUAAAGGGCGCGUAGGCGGCAAGAUAAGUUUUGGGUGAAAUCCCGGGGCUCAACCCCGGAACUGCCUGAGAUACUGUCAUGCUAGAGGGCAGAAGAGGCUAGCGGAA
This 589-nucleotide ribosomal RNA is filed under the name uncultured bacterium. RNAcentral's name for it is "bacterial SSU rRNA". It matches the Rfam family "Bacterial small subunit ribosomal RNA", at positions 45 to 666 of the family's 1533-position model. The record is from RNAcentral.